UGAGAUCAGGGAGACCAAGGAAAGGAAGUAAUUUCAAGAAGUAAGAUGAAGUCAUCAGGAUCAAAUAUACUAACAAUGUUGAAGAAAUGAAAGAAAAACUUCCAAUGGACUUGAGAGAGCAUAAGCAAGGGAGCAGCAGGAAGAUGGAGAAGCAGGUUCCUCACUGAGCAAGGAGACCAAUGCAGGACUUAAUCCCAGUAACCUGGGAUCAUAACUGGAGCUGAAGGCGAACGCUUAACUGACUGAACUACCCAGAGGCUUAAUGCUCUGCAAGUGUCUUACUGCAGCUUGAAUGGAAUCAGCAGUACAAUUCACUUUGAAUGCACAACAGAGAAGAAAAAAAAAAUUCCAGUAGAUGACAUUCUACCUUUGGCAACUUGCAUCAGACUGCAUAGUGUUUUGGAAACUUUCUUCCUUUGAUUAUAACAUGAGCUAGGUACAGUCAAUUUGAAAAAGAAAACAACUAAAAAAUACACUUUGCUCGCCUAACUUAAAAUUUUCACAAAUUUGCAGUGGGAUUUAUUGCUGCAGAAAGGAGACCAUACAGGAGUUUACCUGUGUAAAAAUAUAAUAUUCAUAUAUAUAUUUGUGGAAAUAGCAUACAAGCCACCUAAUGCUAAAACAGAAGUUAUGUUGUUGGUGUUUUUCUUCCUUUAACUCUCCUUUUGAAUGUAUUUAGGCUUUCAAUUACCUGUGUAAAGCAUCUCAAAUCCAUUGCUUUAUUUAAUUCACUUGCAUAGACCUCAUACACAUAUUGUUACUUAGAAAAGAAUAGAAGCCAGUAAAUACAGAAAUGUUAUUAAGUAUAAAUAUAAAAUUUUUAGUAAGAGGGUUCCAAAUGAUUCUACUGUGGCAUUUAAGCUGUCUUCUGUUUUCAGAUUAUUCUCCAUUAUAUUAUUUGUUACCUACUAACAAUCAUUUGGCCAUAUUCAAUCUUACAUUACUUAAGUGAAAUAUAUAUCCUAUCAUCCUUAUAUUCCUGAUCUCAUGCAUCAGUUAUACCUAGAGGAAUGUUUUAUAUAUCAUAAGUGUCCAGUCAAUGUAUUUUAUGUAGAGAUGAAUUUCAACAUAAAUGAAUAUAUCAAAUUUUGUUUUAGGCUUCAGUUUGAAAAAAACUGUUCUUUGUAAUGCAGUUGCAAUGAGCGGGGAACAUAAAAUAUAUGAUGGUAAUAUAAUUUAGUAUCAAAUAAAAUUCAGUAUCAAAUCAAAACAACACCAGAAAUUUUAAGAGAAAUAGGAAAAAUUGGGGCACUUGGGUGGCUCGGGGGGUUAAAGCCUCUGCCUUUGGCUCAGGUCAUGAUCCCAGAGUCCUGGAAUGAAGCUGGCAUUGGGCGGGAGGCCGCUUCUCCCACCCCCUGGCUGCCUCUCUGCUUACUUGUGAUCUCUGUCUGUCAGACAAACAAACAAAUAAAUAAAUAAAUAAAUAAAUUUUUUCAAAAGAGAGGAAAAAAGAAAACUUUAGCAGGGUAGUGUUUCCAGUACACAGGGAAAAAUAAAAAGUAUUAACAUGGUCUUAGAUUUAGCCAAGACACCCCUAUUCUAUUAUUUAUCAUUGAUAAAUGAUAAAAAUUUGUUGUUCACAGGCAGUAACUUACCUGUUUUCAUCUCAAAUAGGUAUUUGAUACUUCUUUUUCCAUCACACAUGGAACUUUUAGUGUAUCUAGGGUGAAGACAGCUAAUUUAAUAAUCUUUCUUAUGGAGUCAAAUACUUAGAAUUUGAUUAUCUUUCUCUAUUUUGGUGCCAAGAGCCAUAAUUUAAACAUACUGAACAAAUCCUACAACAUGUAGCCAUUUUGUAUUUUCUAUCACCAACAUUAUAGCAACAAUGUUCUGUAUGUAUUCUAUUGGAUCUUUCUCACUGUCUUGGUUAAAAAACAAACAAAAAGCCAUUAUCAGCAGAAGUAAUGUUGAUACAUUUGGAAAUGCUAAAAUGAGUACUUGCUGAAGGAUAGUUUCUACAGGCACAGCUUGCAGAACAGCUCUCCAGAGUAGUAUUAGAAAAGAUGGAAACCCAGACAAUUCCUUCUCUAAAUGUUUUAAUAUUAAUGAAAAAAUAAUCUUGAAAUGUAUCCAAUACAUCUUGAACAGUAGUCAUAAGAACAGGGCAUAGAAAACAUAAUUCAAGAAACUGAACAUAAAUUAUAUUUAACUCUAGACUCAUGAUUUGAUAGUCAUCUAAUCCUAAAUUGCAAAAGAAAGGAAUCUUAUUUUAUAAAAUUUAUCUCUGUUAAAGAGGUAAAUUCAACUUAAUACUAUGAUUCAGUAGAUUAAAAACUGCACAAAUGAAGAAGAGCUUUGUAAACUGCAAAGCACCAUAAAAUCAGUGACUUAAAAUUUACAAAGCCCUUUUUGUAUUAUCAUGGGUUAGUUCAACAUAAUAUUUCUCAGCUUUAUUCCCUGUAUGAUGAGGUAUUUCUACACCUGCUCCUUGUAGUAUAUUCAUCCUCUAUCUUUUCACCUGAGCUAUUUGGGCAUAAUUUUUUUACUUUUCCCCCCUCUUUUUUGCAAAAUUUAUUUAUUUAUUUAUUUAUUUAUUCAUUCAUUCAUUCAUUCAUUUAUAUGAGAGAGAGAGAGAGAGAGAGCACUUGCGCUCCUGGGUGAACUAGCACAAGAUGGACGCGUGGCAGAAGAAGAGGAAGAAGCCAGAUUUCUGCUGAACAGGAAGUUGUACCCAGGGCUCAAUCUCAGGACCUUCAGAGCAAUGACUUGAGCCAAAGGCAGAUGCUUACCCAACUGAACCACCCAGGCACUUUCCAGCCUCCCUUAAUCCCCCAAUUUAACUCAACAAGUAUAUAUCUUAUUUUCUUUUUAAAUUAUUUCUCAAUUUCUCUCUAAUAUCUUCCUCAUUUAGAAAAACUCUUUCAACUUAUAUGUAUAGUACUAUAGUUAUCUUUUUCUUUGUUGUCUUUUUUGAAGUAUAAUUGACAUACAACACAAGUUUCAGGUGUAGACAAUGAGUCUAUCAUAUACCAUGAAACAAUCACAUUAAGUCAACAUGUCACCAUACAUAGUUACAAAAAGUUUUUUUUUUCCUUGUGAUGAGGACUUACUACUUUUUUUUGUGUGUGUGUGCUUUUUAUUAACAUAUAAUGUAAUUGGUUUGGUUCAGAGGUACAGGUCUGUAAAUCGUCAGUCUUACACAAUUCACAGCACUCCACCAUAGCACAUAUCCUCCCCAAUGUCCAUCACCCAGCCACCCUAUCCUUUCCUCCCUCCUCCCCUCCAGCAACCCUCAGUUCGUUUCCUGAGAUUAAGAGUCUCUUACGGUUUGUCUCCUUUCUUGGUCCCAUCUUGUUUCAUUUUUCCCUCCCUUCUCCCCACAACCCCUGCCCUGCCUUUCAAAUUCUUCAUAUCAGAGAGAUCAUAUGAUUAUUAUCUUUCUCUGAUUGGCUUAUUUCACUUAGGGUAAUACCCUCUAGUUCCAUCCACGUCAUUGCAAAUGGCAAGAUUUCAGGGUUUUUGAUGGCUGCAUAGUAUUCCAUUGUAUAUAUACACGACAUCUUCUUAAUUCAUUCAUCUGUUGUUGGACAUCUAGGUUCUUCCAUAGUUUGGCUAUUGUGGACGAUGCUGCUAUAAACAUUGGGGUGCACAUGCCCCUUUGGUUCACUACAUUUGUAUCUUUAGGGUAAAUACUGAGUCGUGCUAUUGCUGGGUCAUAGGGUAGCUCUAUUUUCAACUUUUUGAGGAAACUCCAUACUGUUUUUCAGAAUGGCUACCCCUUGCAAUUUUUAAAUAUGCAGUGUAUUAUUAGCUAUAAUCACUAUAUACCCUCAUGACUUACUUUAUAACUGUCAGUUUGACUCCCUUCACCCAUUUCUCCCACACUCAACCCUCACCUCUGGCAACCACCAACUUGUUCUCUGUACUUUUGAGUUGGAUUUUUUGGUUUUGUUUUGGUUUCAUUUUUUAAUUCUUCAUAUAAGUGGAAUCAUAUGGUAUUUGUCUUUUUUUGAAUUAUUUCCCAUAGCAUGAAUGUCUUCAAAGUCCACCCAUGUUGUUUCAGAGGGCAGGGUUUUUGUUUUUUU
This is a long non-coding RNA of Mustela lutreola (European mink), 4025 nucleotides long. RefSeq lists it as uncharacterized. The record is from RefSeq and is a predicted model, not a curated record. The transcript has 4 exons. NCBI's taxonomy places the organism in Eukaryota, Metazoa, Chordata, Mammalia, Carnivora, Mustelidae.